This 2129-nucleotide unclassified non-coding RNA is filed under the name Leishmania donovani. RNAcentral's name for it is "gene:unknown". The record is from RNAcentral. Lineage: Eukaryota; Euglenozoa; Kinetoplastea; Trypanosomatida; Trypanosomatidae.
GGAAGAAGCCAGGCAGCCCCUAUCCCCUGCCAAUGCUGCACCGCACCUGGCGGUGGCAGGGUCAGGCGCCUACGACGUGGGGGAGGUCAGAGCGAUGCAUCGCUGCUGACGUGGGCGGCCAGGUCGUGGAUGGCGCUGCGUCGGAGCGACCCGCGACCGUGCACCGGGCUGCGCCAUCCAUGCUAUAUGGGCGGAGUGUCAGCGCGACUCGACCGCGACCCGCCCGGCCCUCACUGCCUCCUGGUGUGCGGCGCCUGCGCCACGCCGAGGGAUGCGCCGGGUGGCGGCCGGCAUAGUGGGGGCAGCUGUGGGGCUGCGUGCGCAGAAGAGGCUGGCAGAGGCUGAGGCAGGGCCCGUGCUGAGAUGGCUGCGCCGGCGCACGGCUGUGAUGCGCGUGUCUCUAGCGCUGCUUCGCACCACGCGAUGGGGGCCUGCGACGGGCCGGGGCUAGCGUGCCCCUUCCGCCCAUGCUGUGGAGGCGAAACGGACAUGUCGGAGCGAAAACAUACCUGUUUGUGCACUUAGAAAAACUGGACGGGACACGAAGGUUAGUGGUGAAGACUGAUAUGGGAGGUAGUUUGUCGGCUUUUGGUUCCACUUGUGGGCGGGGGGAUGGAUGAAGAGGUAGAGGUAUCAGAUGCCGUUGGUGAUCAUUGCUCAGAAAGGAUGGGAGAGUGCAGGCUUUCCUAGUGUGUGAAGUCAGGAGAUAGUGGAAGGAUGCCUCUUAUAUUGAAGUUUCUAAGUCUGUGGUAGUGUGUGUAAACUGAUAGAUAUCAUCACUAUGGAGGAGGUUGUCGACAGGUGAUGUUCUGUGUUUCUCUGGCGAUAUGACUGAUCCCCUUUGCCGAACUUUGCUCAACGGAGAAUACGUGUUUCAAGCAGUGAUUUCCGCUCUGGAAGCACCUGGUAUCUCGGUGUCAUGGAAGUACAGUAGGGAAUCGGUCUAUCGUACUUUUUCGCGGUUUCUGAGCAGGAUUUAUUAGGAGUCAGACCCACAGCAACUGGAGUGUACUUUUUGUUGUCCGUGAUUAAACAAUCGGCGCUUUUCUUUGCAGUGGAAAGUGCUCAUCUUUGCAUCAAACUCCCUAUUCGUGCCGAUCUUUACUUUUUAGAGUUCGAGAAGCAGCAACGAUCGGAGCAAUCCCUGAAAGCAAAAAUAGGAACGUGGAGACAGUGCUGGGUACCUUCAGCCACCGCCCAGACGAGCAGCACGAAUUCGUAAGCAUCCGGUUUCCCGCGACUCGGCGACACUGUACAGGACUCUGGAUAACGUGCUGAUCGUGCGGGCGGUCUUCGUGUACUCUGCACACGGAAGUGCCACCGUGGUAAAUCUGCAAAGUGAUUCGACAGCGCUGAUCGGCGGUGCCGGCGCGGGCGCCGCCAUUCGGUCGCCUGGAAUAGCUGCAGUCGCGGACGCUUUUCUUUUGGUUGUGGAGUGGGGUAAUGGUAUAUUGGUGGCAGACACCGCGUAUCUUCCGACUCAGAGCCUCUAUGACAGCUUCCUCAGCGACACGGGAAUCAAUACACGCUACUACGAACCACUAAGCACAUCAAGAUAGCUACGUCUGCUACCUUUGAAGUCCCUGAAGACCGCUGCAACUUUUCCGGAGUCUCAUGGUUGAAGACAUUCGAGAUCCAAGAUAUGCCUGGGCUUACUGCAGCUGCACAGGAGCGCAGCGUCAUCUUCAUUGUGGACAGCAUCUGGCCACUUCCCCCUUUUUCGACGUGCACGCUGCGGGGUGCGGCGUUUCUGUCGAGGCCGGAGCAAGGCACCUCAAGGGUCCUUCAGGUUUGGGUCUUGGUAUGUUGUAGGUAAAUGAGAAGUGACUUCACGCCGUGAAAUCGUGCCUGCUCGUCAUUCAGGACACUUCGGGCAAUAAGGACUGCUUUCCGAGUCUGCGUGGGUUGAGGACCAUGCACGUGCGUUUGAAGGGGCCUGAGAAGCGAGCGUUCCAUGUGCUUCACUACCUUGGAAAACGCGAAGAAGCCUUGCGGGUUCUUCAGCCUUUCCGAGCUCUCUUGGACACCAGAUUUGGAAGCGCGACUUCACCUGUUCCCCUGGACUCUUUUCUGUUCUUAUCUCCACUUACGAUUCAAAAAAUGCGGGGCGCAUGCUGGACGGGCUCAAG